AGCUCUUAUAGCUCAACGGUAGAGCGGGAUACUGUUAAUAUCUUGAUAGAUGUUCGAUUCAUCUUAAGGGCUU
Molecule: transfer RNA, 73 nt
Filed under: Aspergillus cristatus
Lineage: Eukaryota; Fungi; Ascomycota; Eurotiomycetes; Eurotiales; Aspergillaceae
Description: tRNA-Asn
Rfam family: tRNA
About the family: Transfer RNA (tRNA) molecules are approximately 80 nucleotides in length. Their secondary structure includes four short double-helical elements and three loops (D, anti-codon, and T loops).
Source: RNAcentral